Molecule: non-coding RNA, 185 nt
Organism: Phoenix dactylifera (date palm)
Lineage: Eukaryota; Viridiplantae; Streptophyta; Magnoliopsida; Arecales; Arecaceae
Source: RefSeq, a predicted model, not a curated record
UUCUUCUGAAUUGUGAGGAGGUUCAACCUUUUGGAAAGUAUUUUGAUGAUUAUAUCCGGCAAUCUUGUCCAAAUAUAAGCCAAAUAGAUUUGGAAAGACGACGCGAAAUGGAGUUUCCGGCUUGGUUUAGGUCAUAUCUAUGGCCAAGAAAAAAGGGAAACCAAGAGGUAAUGGAAAAGCAGCUU